Molecule: ribosomal RNA, 368 nt
Filed under: uncultured organism
Description: partial 16S ribosomal RNA
Rfam family: Bacterial small subunit ribosomal RNA
Source: RNAcentral
GGAGGGGGCAAGCGUUGUUCGGAAUUACUGGGCGUAAAGGGCGCGUAGGCGGAAGAUCAAGUCAGGGGUGAAAGGCCUGGGCUCAACCCGGGAACUGCCUUUGAAACUGGUUUUCUAGGGUACGGGAGAGGAUGGCGGAAUUCCCAGUGUAGAGGUGAAAUUCGUAGAUAUUGGGAAGAACACCGGUGGCGAAGGCGGCCAUCUGGCCCGGUACUGACGCUAAGGCGCGAAAGCGUGGGGAGCAAACAGGAUUAGAUACCCUGGUAGUCCACGCCGUAAACGAUGUGUGCUAGCCGUUGGGGCCUCAGGUCUCAGUGGCGCAGCUAACGCGUUAAGCACACCGCCUGGGGAGUACGGCCGCAAGGUUA